ACUCAAAGGAAUUGACGGGGGCCCGCACAAGCGGAGGAGCAUGUGGCUUAAUUCGAUGCAACGCGAAGAACCUUACCAGGGUUUGAAAUGCAACUGCACGUCCCGUGAAAGCGGGAUUCCUUCGAGGGUGUUGCACAGGUGCUGCAUGGCUGUCGUCAGUUCGUGCCGUGAGGUGUUGGGUUAAGUCCCACAACGAACGCAACCCUUGUGUUUAGUUGCCAUCACCGGUGAUGAACCGGUGAGCACUCUAGACAGACUGCCCGUGUUAAGCGGGAGGAAGGUGGGGAUGACGUCAAGUCAGUAUGGCCUUUAUAUCCUGGGCUGCACACGUGCUACAAUGGCCGGUCCAGAGGGAUGCAAUACCGCAAGGUGGAGCAAAUCCCCAAAAAGCGGCCUCAGUACGGAUUGGAGUCUGCAACUCGACUCCAUGAAGUUGGAUUCGCUAGUAACGACGCAUCAGCUACGGUGUCGUGAAUACGUUCCCGGGCCUUGUACACACCGCCCGU
RNAcentral lists this ribosomal RNA (506 nucleotides) under uncultured bacterium. RNAcentral's name for it is "bacterial SSU rRNA". It matches the Rfam family "Bacterial small subunit ribosomal RNA", at positions 899 to 1397 of the family's 1533-position model. The record is from RNAcentral.